UUCACCAAAACUACAACAAAAAUAGUCUAUUGACAAAGACCAUAUGUUGCACCACACAUGUUGGAACAUCGUGUUCCACAUGUUGCAGCAGAACAUCCAAAAUAACUCUCAUCAUAAAAAUCAUCUUUGUAGAGUAAAUCUUGGAUUAAAUAAAUCUAAACCUCAUCUUCAUUCAAAGAAAGUUCAAUCAAAUCUUUUAUGAUAACAUCAAAUCCAAACCUUUUCCAAAUUAAUUUGGAUUAACAAAACAAAAUUCU
Molecule: long non-coding RNA, 257 nt
Filed under: Lathyrus oleraceus (garden pea)
Lineage: Eukaryota; Viridiplantae; Streptophyta; Magnoliopsida; Fabales; Fabaceae
Description: Pisum sativum (pea) long non-coding RNA (PSAT_LNC007766)
Source: RNAcentral